RNAcentral lists this non-coding RNA (26 nucleotides) under Drosophila yakuba. Lineage: Eukaryota; Metazoa; Arthropoda; Insecta; Diptera; Drosophilidae. The record is from RNAcentral. RNAcentral also lists the same sequence under 3 other names.
CCGCCCGUCGCUACUACCGAUUGGAU